UCGAGCGGUAGCACAGAGAGCUUGCUCUCGGGUGACGAGCGGCGGACGGGUGAGUAAUGUCUGGGAAACUGCCUGAUGGAGGGGGAUAACUACUGGAAACGGUAGCUAAUACCGCAUAAUGUCGCAAGACCAAAGUGGGGGACCUUCGGGCCUCAUGCCAUCAGAUGUGCCCAGAUGGGAUUAGCUAGUAGGUGGGGUAAUGGCUCACCUAGGCGACGAUCCCUAGCUGGUCUGAGAGGAUGACCAGCCACACUGGAACUGAGACACGGUCCAGACUCCUACGGGAGGCAGCAGUGGGGAAUAUUGCACAAUGGGCGCAAGCCUGAUGCAGCCAUGCCGCGUGUGUGAAGAAGGCCUUCGGGUUGUAAAGCACUUUCAGCGGGGAGGAAGGCGGUGAGGUUAAUAACCUUGUCGAUUGACGUUACCCGCAGAAGAAGCACCGGCUAACUCCGUGCCAGCAGCCGCGGUAAUACGGAGGGUGCAAGCGUUAAUCGGAAUUACUGGGCGUAAAGCGCACGCAGGCGGUCUGUCAAGUCGGAUGUGAAAUCCCCGGGCUCAACCUGGGAACUGCAUUCGAAACUGGCAGGCUAGAGUCUUGUAGAGGGGGGUAGAAUUCCAGGUGUAGCGGUGAAAUGCGUAGAGAUCUGGAGGAAUACCGGUGGCGAAGGCGGCCCCCUGGACAAAGACUGACGCUCAGGUGCGAAAGCGUGGGGAGCAAACAGGAUUAGAUACCCUGGUAGUCCACGCCGUAAACGAUGUCGAUUUGGAGGUUGUGCCCUUGAGGCGUGGCUUCCGGAGCUAACGCGUUAAAUCGACCGCCUGGGGAGUACGGCCGCAAGGUUAAAACUCAAAUGAAUUGACGGGGGCCCGCACAAGCGGUGGAGCAUGUGGUUUAAUUCGAUGCAACGCGAAGAACCUUACCUGGUCUUGACAUCCACAGAACUUAGCAGAGAUGGUUUGGUGCCUUCGGGAACUGUGAGACAGGUGCUGCAUGGCUGUCGUCAGCUCGUGUUGUGAAAUGUUGGGUUAAGUCCCGCAACGAGCGCAACCCUUAUCCUUUGUUGCCAGCGGUUAGGCCGGGAACUCAAAGGAGACUGCCAGUGAUAAACUGGAGGAAGGUGGGGAUGACGUCAAGUCAUCAUGGCCCUUACGACCAGGGCUACACACGUGCUACAAUGGCAUAUACAAAGAGAAGCGACCUCGCGAGAGCAAGCGGACCUCAUAAAGUAUGUCGUAGUCCGGAUUGGAGUCUGCAACUCGACUCCAUGAAGUCGGAAUCGCUAGUAAUCGUAGAUCAGAAUGCUACGGUGAAUACGUUCCCGGGCCUUGUACACACCGCCCGUCACACCAUGGGAGUGGGUUGCAAAAGAAGUAGGUAGCUUAACCUUCGGGAGGGC
This 1397-nucleotide ribosomal RNA is filed under the name Klebsiella pneumoniae. Its description in RNAcentral is "bacterial SSU rRNA". It matches the Rfam family "Bacterial small subunit ribosomal RNA". Lineage: Bacteria; Pseudomonadati; Pseudomonadota; Gammaproteobacteria; Enterobacterales; Enterobacteriaceae. The record is from RNAcentral.